UUUUAGAGCUGAAUAUACUGAGUGCUUUA
Molecule: non-coding RNA, 29 nt
Filed under: Mus musculus (house mouse)
Lineage: Eukaryota; Metazoa; Chordata; Mammalia; Rodentia; Muridae
Source: RNAcentral